This 466-nucleotide ribosomal RNA is filed under the name uncultured bacterium. RNAcentral's name for it is "partial 16S ribosomal RNA". It matches the Rfam family "Bacterial small subunit ribosomal RNA", at positions 29 to 506 of the family's 1533-position model. The record is from RNAcentral.
ACGAACGCUGGCGGCGUGCUUAACACAUGCAAGUCGAACGGAAAGGCCCUGCUUUUGUGGGGUGCUCGAGUGGCGAACGGGUGAGUAACACGUGAGUAACCUGCCCUUGACUUUGGGAUAACUUCAGGAAACUGGGGCUAAUACCGGAUAGGAGCUCCUGCUGCAUGGUGGGGGUUGGAAAGUUUCGGCGGUUGGGGAUGGACUCGCGGCUUAUCAGCUUGUUGGUGGGGUAGUGGCUUACCAAGGCUUUGACGGGUAGCCGGCCUGAGAGGGUGACCGGCCACAUUGGGACUGAGAUACGGCCCAGACUCCUACGGGAGGCAACAGUGGGGAAUAUUGCACAAUGGGCGGAAGCCUGAUGCAGCAACGCCGCGUGCGGGAGGACGGCCUUCGGGUUGUAAACCGCUUUCGCCUGUGACGAAGCGUGAGUGACGGUAAUGGGUAAAGAAGCACCGGCUAACUACGU